AUAGUCACCAACAAAGUCUUAUUGCAAGCUAACAACAACUUCAGUGCAUGGCAUACGAAGAUCAAGCUAUUCAGCCCUUUUGCAUCUGCUUCAGACAUUUCCCCUCUGUAACAAUGCAAACACUACAACUCGUAGAAAGCUUCACACUCUUGAUCAAGACAAUAUGAAGCAAAACCAAUUUAUGGUGCCAACAAGAGCUUCAUUAAAGGAGUUUAACCACAAUUCUCAAAAGCUUCACACACUCUUGAUCAAGACAGUGUGAAGCAAAACCAAUUUAUAGUGCCAACAAGAGCUUCAUCAACGGAGGGUAACCACAAUUCUCAAAAGCUUCACACACUCUUGAUCAAGACAAUGUGAAGCAAAACCAAUUUAUGGUGCCAACAAGAGCUUCAUUAAAGGAGGUUAACCACAAUUCUCAAAAGCUUCACACACUCUUGAUCAAGACAGUGUGAAGCAAAACCAAUUUAUGGUGCCAAC
Molecule: long non-coding RNA, 477 nt
Filed under: Malus domestica (apple)
Lineage: Eukaryota; Viridiplantae; Streptophyta; Magnoliopsida; Rosales; Rosaceae
Description: long non-coding RNA (MDOM_LNC012198)
Source: RNAcentral